GCGUCCUACGGGGCGCAGCAGUGGGGAAUAUUGGACAAUGGGGGGAACCCUGAUCCAGCGACGCCGCGUGAGUGAAGAAGUAUUUCGGUAUGUAAAGCUCUAUCAGCAGGGAAGAAAGAAAUGACGGCACCUGACUAAGAAGCCCCGGCUAACUACGUGCCAGCAGCCGCGGUAAUACGUAGGGGGCAAGCGUUAUCAGGAUUUACUGGGUGUAAAGGGAGCGUAGACGGCGAUGCAAGUCUGAAGUGAAAGGCGGGGGGCCCAACCCCUGGACUGCUUUGGAAACUGUAUGGAUGGAGUGCAGG
RNAcentral lists this ribosomal RNA (305 nucleotides) under uncultured bacterium. RNAcentral describes it as "bacterial SSU rRNA". It matches the Rfam family "Bacterial small subunit ribosomal RNA", at positions 334 to 652 of the family's 1533-position model. The record is from RNAcentral.